Molecule: ribosomal RNA, 487 nt
Filed under: uncultured Turicibacter sp.
Lineage: Bacteria; Bacillati; Bacillota; Erysipelotrichia; Erysipelotrichales; Turicibacteraceae
Description: bacterial SSU rRNA
Rfam family: Bacterial small subunit ribosomal RNA
Source: RNAcentral
AGAGUUUGAUCCUGGCUCAGGAUGAACGCUGGCGGCGUGCCUAAUACAUGCAAGUCGAGCGAACCACUUCGGUGGGAAGCGGCGAACGGGUGAGUAACACGUAGGUGAUCUGCCCAUCAGACGGGGACAACGAUUGGAAACGAUCGCUAAUACCGGAUAGGACGAAAGUUUAAAGAUGCUCCUGGCAUCACUGAUGGAUGAGCCUGCGGCGCAUUAGCUAGUUGGUGGGGUAAAGGCCUACCAAGGCGACGAUGCGUAGCCGACCUGAGAGGGUGAACGGCCACACUGGGACUGAGACACGGCCCAGACUCCUACGGGAGGCAGCAGUAGGGAAUCUUCGGCAAUGGGCGAAAGCCUGACCGAGCAACGCCGCGUGAAUGAAGAAGGCCUUCGGGUUGUAAAAUUCUGUUAUAAGGGAAGAAAGGUGAUAGGAGGAAAUGACUAUCAGUUGACGGUACCUUAUGAGAAAGCCACGGCUAACUACGUG